Molecule: long non-coding RNA, 22735 nt
Filed under: Homo sapiens (human)
Lineage: Eukaryota; Metazoa; Chordata; Mammalia; Primates; Hominidae
Description: non-protein coding lnc-GGCT-1:82
Source: RNAcentral
CUCUUGAGCUCCUUGCUGGAGCCCAAUCCCAGUCUGUGGAGUGUACUUUCAUUUAAAUAAAUCUGUGCGUUCUUUGCUUCAUUCUUUCAUUGCUUGGUUUGUGCAUUUUGUCCAGUUCCUUGUUCAAAAUGCCAAGAACCUGGAUGACUCAUAGUCAAGACCCUCCACCAGUAACAUAUAUUGGCGAGCCAGCCAGGAGCUUGGAACCCUCGGUGGACAGUGCCUAAGCACAGAGGCAACCACAGGUUUCUAACAGGGCCACUCUCUGGUGAAACUGAAAGGUUUCUGUGUGAAAGUGCCUGACCACCACUGCCCAAUUCAGACCACUACAGGAAACACUCCAUUUAUUCCACCUGACUUCCCACUUGGCUGCAUCCUCAACCAUUGAAAUGAAUUUGACCCUGAUAAUCUAAGGAGGAAACAUUUGAUAUUCUUUUGCAAUAAUACUUGGCCCCAGUAUUGUUUGGAAUCUGGAGUUUGCUGUUGAAUGGGAAAGCAGGAUGACGUUGCAUGUAUCCAGGCUUUGGUGCUGCUGUCCUAAGAAGGGUCAGGCCUAGUCAGCAUAUGGUGCUCUCCUUUGGUGCUAUUUGGCUCCAGUGUCUUUGGAGUCUGAGGAGGUUUGGCCUUUAAAAAUCAAACUGCCACCGGAACUGCUUUAAAAAUGUUUGGUUCACAGCCUUCACUGGAUUACCUAUUGGAGCAAACAAAGUGUAACCAUGUAAAACCUGUGAGCUUGUAUUGAUAUCUCAUGGCUAGAGUUCCAAGGUAAAAGCUAUUGGAUCUUCGUUUGUGUGUGUGUAUACAUGUCUAGAUGUGUUUAUUUGUAUGUACACUUAUUGUUAUAUGUUGUGUCAACCAAAUCAGCUUAUAAAUAAAAAAGCACUCAUAAAUUAAAUAAAUAAGUCCAAGCAAUUUUCAAGUUCAUGUGACUUAAGUAAAUCUUCAUUAAAUAGCUGGCUUUAAAAUUAUUGGUAAAAUGAAAAUAGAAAUAUCUUCAGAAUUGUCAGCAUACAUUUUUGUCUGGGUUUUAUAUUUGUCUUUGCUAGAAAUGUUGAAGUGUCAGCAUUUGGCAUAGAAGAUUAUAAAGCUAUUAACCCAGCCAAAACAAAAUGGCCUUAGUUUAUGUGGCUUCUUUGACAAAUGAGACUAAUUUAAUAUUGUUAGCUAAAUCUUCUGGGUUAUUGGCAAAAACACCUAUGUAUUUAACUGUGAGGUUCUUAUUUAGGUGAACACAUAAUGUUCAUUGGCUAUUAAAAAUGGUUAACAAAUAAAUAACUAACUUUAAAUGAUGGUGUCUAAUAUCUCAGUUUUCAGAAGUAAUCUAGAUAAACUGUUAAAAAUGAAAGACUUAAGUACAUGUAAAUGGGAUGAAUGAUUAGGUAAAUUUUGUGUAAUUUAAAAUCUUAAAAGUAUUUUUGAUGCCCAUUGGAUAUCUCAGUCAUUUCCAAUUAAGAAAGGGUUAUGAUAGGGAGGAAUAUGUUUCCAAAAAUUGUGGAAUUAUUCUCAUCUAUAAAAUGCUAAUAUCUGAUAGUUUAGGAUUUUUUGCUUCCUAAGGUUUCACUAAAAUUUAAGGUUACUAAGAUGAUAUGGUUUGGCUUUGCAUCCCCACCCAAAUCUCUUCUUAUAACUCCCAUAAUUACCGUGUGUUGUGGGGAGGGAUCCAGUGGGUGAGAGAUGAUUGAAUUAUGCUGUUCUCAUGAUAGCGAAUGGGUCUCAUGAGAUCUGAUGGUUUUGAAAAUGGGAGUUGCCCUGCACAAGCUCUCCUUUUGCCUGCUGCCAUCCACAUAAGAUGUGAUUUGCUCUUCCUUGCCUUCCACCAUGAUUGUGAGGCCUUCCCAGCAUGUGGAAAUGGUCCAGCCUGCAAUAACUGAAGCCCCCAGACCUGGAACCUGAAGAUCCCAUCAGCCACUAAACCUGUGAACCUGUAGAAGACCUGAAGUACCUGUUUAAAAGGCAGCCAAAAGAUAAGUAAAUUCCUAUCAACUUUCCUUGGUGUCCUUCUUGUAUAUUUACUGUAAGCUGGAUAUAAUAGUAGCCAUUUUUAUAUUUUUACAAUUUAAUUGCUUUCUUCCAAAUGGAUUGAAUCACUUCUUUUAAAGUGUUUUAAUUAAUUUUUAUCUAUAGAACAAAAUAACAAAUAAGUAUUUUUUUUUUAUACCAUAAUGGUCACCCACAGCCUGUGUAUACUAAGACCAUGCAUACUGAUAAUCAGCUUUAUUUUACAAAAGAGUUUCGCUUUACCCCUCUGGUAAUUAAUGGAUUCUGGGUAUUUAUUAAAAACUUUAACACAAAGACUGUUAAAUACCACCAGUCCAGCUUUGGCAAGGCACUGUUGGCUUUGUUUAUCUCCAUCAUCAUCCAAACAGACUACCAAUCCUGAUCCCAGCCCAAUCUUGGGCCCUUGAAAAAAUAACUUAACAUCCUAACUACAAGGGAGAAACUCCUUUCAAAUUAAUGAACCUGGCUGACUUAUAUAGCCUUAAAAUUAUGGAAAUGACAAGGGUUACAAUGUCAGAAUGAGCAGUAAACCUUCCCCAGUCCUAUCAGAGCAAACUUUCUGGGGUUGCAUCCCCUCAGAAACCCAUUUGGGGCCCAAUCUCAAUGCACAUAUCAGUGCGCAAAGCACUAAAAUUCCAGGCAACACUUUGUAUUGAGAGAAGCCAAAAUUUUGGUCCCGCCCUGGGACAUCUAAAGUCACCAAUGUAACUACACCAUACAGAUUAAACCCUCACAUGAUCAUGUAAGCUAUGCAGUUACCCAAGCUGCAUCAUUUAGAAAACCUGUACAGUUUUUAUGGAAACCAUCCCUAGUCAAGGACACUUUAAAUAUAUAGUCUAAAUACCGUUAAGGUAGGCCCACUAGCUGUGUUCACAUUUUCCCUUGGCCACCUUACCAGGGACUUUAAUAACUUGGGAAAGUGAAAACAACAAGCUAACCCACAUGUUCACCAUAGAAAACAAUUUUGUCUUGAAAAACAAGGACUCUUUUUCCCGUGUGGGACCAGUUCCUACUUAUGUUUUACCAGCCAAUUGGACUGGAACCUAUACAGUUGUUUAUUUAGCCCCCGAAAUUAAUAUAGCUCCCAACAACCAAUCCUUCAUUAUACUUUUAACUGCAACCACCAGACACAAAUGAGCCAUCCAACUGAUACCACUUUCGGUAGAGCUAGGAAUAACAGCAGGAGUAGGAAUGAGAGUUAGCAGCCUUGCAGUUUCCCUAUCCUAUUACCAAUGCUUGUCCAAGGAUUUUAUGGAAAGCUUAGGUGACAUUGCCCAAAAGUAUCAUCACCUUACAAAAUCAGAUAGAGUCUUUGGCAGUGGUGGCUUUGUAAAAUAGAAGGGGACUGGAUCUCCUAAAUGCUGAAGAAGGUGGCUUAUGUCUUUUUCCUAGAGGAAGAAUGCUGUUUUUAUGUCAACCAAACAGGAUUAGUAAGGGAUGCCACCCAAAAACUAGCCGAUUGGUACCAUAAGAUAUGACAACAGCUGUCUGAGUCAUGGGGCGCCUAGUCAAAAUGCUAAUUUGGGGCUCACAUCUCCUUCCUCUGGCCAGUCCACUAUUAAUUAUUAUACUUGCCUUGGCUUUUGGAUCAUGUUUGUUAAAUCUUUUAACCAGAUUUAUUUCUUCUUGCCUAGAGACCAUUAUGAUAAUGCAGCAGGGCCACCAGUCAGUUUCAGAUAAUGAUGUCAACCCCGGCCACCAAGAAGUAACCUUGUCUCCACUAGACAGAGCAGGGUGAGAGUUCUGUAAUCCCCAGUAGGUAGGGACUGUGCCCCAAGUCAGCAUGAAGUAGUUAUGGAAGAAAGACCAUGGGUCCCUCUGCCUCCCAGAAAGAUUUAUGGGGAUCACAUCUCUCAGGGGAAAAUGAGGCAGGAGAAUAGGGUCUGGAGACAGGGAACCUAAAGCUGAUUUGUGCUGAGUUUCUAGGAUUGAAUGAAAAGGAAAACCCCACCUCUCCACACCCAAGUAACAAAAGGAUCAGAGGCUACUCCCUUUGCACUGCAUUGCAGAUAAAAAAUGGAAAGUACCUCAGAUUGGUCCCCUCCCACAACCAAUCAGACUGGCCAUGGGCUACUCCUUCGUUUACAUAGGGUGUAACCAAGUAACCAAUGGGAAACCUCUAGCGGGUAUGUAAACCCCAGAAAAUUCUGUAACCAGUGCUCUUGAGCUGCUUGCUGGAGCCUACUCCCACUUUGUGAAGUGUACUUUCAUUUCAAUAAAUUUGUGCUUUCAUUGCUUCAUUCCUUCGUUGCUUUGUGUGUUUUGUCCAAUUCUUUGUUCAAAACACCAAGAACCUGGAUGACUCAUAGUCAAGAUCCUCUACCAGUAACACUUGAACUUUCUGGUUUGUCCUGAACAUCCCUCUUUCUUAAACAACCAGUCGUUUUAUUCUAGGCCAAAAUUUUACCAUACAAGAAUAUUUCUCAUAUACAAUUAUCUUCCUUCUAACUUUUCUUGCCAGAAAUACCUUUUAUAACUUUCUUUACAUUGCUUUUAUUUAACGAUUACUUUUACCUUGUUUCAUAAGUUUUAAAUAGCCUUGAAUUAGAUAAAAAAUUAUUUUCCUUUAAAUAAGAACACAUUUCUUUUUUUAGAAAAAUAUUUUUCUGUAAUUUUUUUUUUUUCUUGAGACAGAGUCUUGCUCUGUCACCCAGGCUGGAGUGCAGUGGCACAAUCUUGGCUCACUGCAAGUUCUGCCUCCCGGGUUCACGCCAUCCUCCUGCCUCAGCCUCCAGGGUAGCUGGGACUAGAGGUGCACACCACCACGCCUGGCUAAUUUUUUGUAUUUUUAGUAGAGACGGGGUUUCACUGUGUUAGCCAGGAUGAUCUCGAUCUCCUGACUAUGAUCUGUCUGCCUCAGCCUCCCAAAGUGCUGGGAUUACAGGUGUGAGCCACUGCACCUGGCCUAAUAUUUUAAAUUGGAAAUGACCCAGAUGUUUAAUGAGUACCUAUUAUUUAACUUAAUAUAAUUUUAGAUUCUAAAUUAUAUAACAAGUUUAAUCACAAGCAUUUAUUCCAUUACAUUUACCUAAUUAAUUUUUUUAAUAGUUUACUCAGAUUACUUUUGAAAACUGAGAGUUAUCAUUGAAAGUUAUUUCCCAGUUAAUCAUUUUUAUAGACUGCGAAUUUCAGGUUUUCCUAAGUAAGAAACUUAAGGUUAGAUAAAUGGUUUCUUUUUUUUUUUUUUUGCCAAUAACUUAGGAUUUAGCUGUUUUCAUUAACUAAACAAUAUUAAAUGCCUUAUUUAUGAAAUUUUACAUAGAGAUAAUUUUCCUUUGGGCUGCAUUCAUUGUUUUAUAACCCUCAUGCCAAAUUUUGGCAUCUAGCAGAGAUAAAUAUGAAACCACUGUUCCAAUAAAUUUAAACAAUAGUGUAUGUUGACAAUUCUGAAGCCAUUCUAAUUCUAAUUUUAUUUCAUGACUACUUUCAAAACCAGCUUAUUUAUUAAAGAUAUACUUAAGUCACAUGAACUUGAAAAGACAUUUGGCUUAAAAUCUCUAUUUUCUCUGAUACAGUAUUUGAUUUAAAGCCCCUUUUUUUCUUUAAGCCAAUUAAUUAGAGCACUUUUACAUGUUUCUAGUAGUGAAACAUCAUAUACAUGACACAUAAAUACAUAGAUGUAUUAUACAUGCAGAUAGAAGUAGAGCUUAUCAUUUCACAAGACCUCUUUUUUUCCUCCAGUUCUAGACUUCUAAUUUCUUGAUCUUAUUACCCUAGGCAGUUGUCAGCUAAGAUAACCCUAAAUUUGCAUAUUAAAGGAACUCUUAGAUGAAAAAAAUCAGAUAGUGAAAUUUACAUCUCAAGGUACAGAGAGAAAGAGUCUGGUGCUAGUGUUUCCAGAAUUUAUUCCUUCUGGUGGGUUCUUGGUCUCUCUGACUUCAAGAAAGAAGCCUCGGACCUUGCAGUGAGUGUUACAGCUCUUAAAGGUGGCGUGUCCAGGGUUGUUUGUUCCUUCUGGUGGGUUUGUGGUCUCACUUCAGGAAUGAAGCUGCAGACCCUCAUGGUGAGUGUUACAGCAAUUAAAGGUAGUGUGGACCCAAAGAGUGAGCAGCAGCAAGAUUUAUUAUGAAGAGCGAAAGAACAAAGCUUCCACAGCAUGGAAAGGGACCUGAGCGGGUUGAUGCUGCUGGCUGUGGUGACCAGCUUUUAUUCCCUUAUUCGUCCCCACCCACGUCCUGGUGAUUGGUCCAUUUUACAGAGCACUGAUUGGUCCAUUUCACAGAGUGCUGAUUGGUGCAUUUUACAGAGUGCUGAUUGGCGCAUUUACAAUCCUUUAGCUAGACACAGAGUGCUGAUUGGUGCAUUUUUACAGAGUGCUGAUUGGUGCAUUUACAAUCCUUUAGCCACAGAGUGCUGAUUGGUGCAUUUACAAUCCUUUAGCUAGACACAGAGCACUGAUUGGUGCAUUGUUAUAGAGUGCUGCUUGGUGCAUUUACAAUCCUUUAGCUAGACACAGAGCACUGAUUGGUGCAUUGUUAUAGAGUGCUGCUUGGUGCAUUUACAAUCCUUUAGCUAGACACAGAGCGCUGAUUGGUGCGUUUUUACAGAGUGCUGAUUGGUAUAUUUACAAUCCUUUAGCUAGACACAGAGCACUGAUUGGUGUGUUUAUAAUCCUCUAGCUAGACAGAAAAGUUCCCCAAGUCCCCACUCGACCCAGGAAGUCCAGCUGGUUUCACCUCUCACUAGUAGGAGGAGAUUAAAAACGAAUGCCAAAUCAAACAUAAAAUUAUAGAAAUCUAUCAUAGGAUUAUAUUAGAAGACUGACUUUAUUUAUAUAAGUAGUUCUAAAUUUAGUCUGCCUUUUAACUGGAUCUCUGAGCUCUGGGCAGAGCCCACACUGAAUUCCGGGUCUCCAAAAAGAGAAUUAUUAUGAGGCUAAGACCAUGUGAUGGUUUUAUGAGUGCACUCUCCUUUUUUUUUUUUUUUUAACAAAAAUGUUUCUCUAAGUGUCUGAACUACUCUCUUCCUAACUUUAAACACCCAACAGUAACCUCUGUUGUUACUCUUUGACUAAAAUAAUUAUUUUAGUUAAAAAAAAAAAAAAAAGAAGAAAGAAAGAAACCAGGUAACACUAUACAAAAGGAAGCAGUGUAAGAUCUGAGACGAAAUUUUCUCUUUUACACUCUUUGAGUUCCAUAAGGAGAAACAGAGGUUGCUCCCCAAAAGGGAGUCUAGUGCCUUCUCUGUUUUCUUUAAGGAAUCCCAGGGUGUUAGAAACUAUUUUAGAUUCCUCAUGCAGCACAGGGUAGCAAGAGAAAGAAGAGGCAGCAGAAGUAAAAUGAAGAAAACAGAAUUUGGUUGACGGAGAAGAAAAAAACUUUUGCUCAAAAAGUUGAAGGAGAGAAAUAAAAAAGGCCUUAACUACACACACACACACACACACACACACACACCUUGGAUGUUAGCUUUUAUUUAAGCUUUUAGCCACUAAGCUCCUUAAAAAAAAUACCUUCAAAUCUCAUUACUGUAUUUUAGCUAGUACAAACUGCUGAUAUUUCAAAAGUAAUGCAAAUACCAAACCAGAAAGGGCUUGAUUUAGGAACCAAACUUAGGCAGUCAUGAUGAAAAUAAGGACAGAAUCUUAGUUUCCAAACUGCAGUGCUGGGGGACAACCAUUGCUCUUUCAGUUUGGCCUGGUUAGCAAAAGAUGGCCUUGUUAUGUAAAUAAAGCCCCUAAGGUAGUCAAAAUCAAAAAAAAUUUUUUUUUCCUUUUGCUAGCUGUUUUUUUCUUUUUUCUUUUUCAGUUGCAGGAAUUUAGCCAAUUCAGAGGUCUUGUUCUCCAUAAUUUGGAAUUUUCCUUCGGAUUUGAUCAAGUUGGAUAGAGUUGGUCAAACCCAAUGGGAAAAAGAUGAAAACAACAAGAAACAGAAACAAACAGCAACAACAACAACAACAAAAACAAUGCAUUUAAUUAAAUGAAGAUGAGCUCAUGCUGGAGUAGGGUGGACUCUGAACCCAGUGGGACAAGCGUCCUUAUUAAGAAGAGGGAAAUCUGGACACACACAGAGCAGAGACCGCCGUGUGAAGAUGGAGGCAGAGAUCGGAGAGAUGCUGCCACACGCCACAAAUGCCUGGGGCUCCCAGAAACUACACGGAGCCUCCCCCAGCGGCUUCAGCAGGAGCAUGGCUCGGCCAACACUUUGAUCUUGGUCUUCCAGCCUCCAGAACGUUUUCCUAAAAUUCCCUUUUCCACUGGUGUGUGGUGCAAGAUGAGGCACAUUUUCCAUGGAUGGUGAACAGAGGGAGGAGCCUUUUGAUCACAACCAGGUCACCCCACUUCUAAGCCACUGUGCCUCCAGCCCCACAAGACUAAGGAGAGAGAGCGCAGCGUGGUGGAGAGUGAGCUGUGCUGGGACCAUUGUUUCCGUAACCUCGUUUUCUGUGUCCAGCUGACACACCUUCAAAGUGGCAUCAGGUCCUAAACUGUAGCUUGCAAUGUGCCUGUUUCCAGAAACCAAGGUGAAAGUGCUUUUAGACAGUGUUCCCAUGCAAGAGUCCCUUCCCAGCUUUUUUCUGGAAAUGCAUGUUUCUCUGAACUCUGAGUCCCAAGAAAAAUCACUUGAGACACCAAGAAAAUGGGGGAAGUGCUAAAAUUGUGUGGGAAUUCAAGCUUAACAAUAAACAUCAAGACAUUUUUGAUAAAAAUGAAUCCACUGACAUCGGGGAGGAGCAAGAGAACAGCACGCUGACACUGGGUCAGAGGCUAAGACCGACAUUUCUGGGAACCACUCCCGGAAGGGCACAGAGGAGACGCUUUCAGCCUCUCAUCAGCCAGCCUGGCCUGUAGCUGCUGCACGUUAUGAGUGUGUUCCUGGCAUGACUGCUUCUAACAAAGAAAUGCUGAGGCAGUGUCACGCUGGUGUCUGUCCUCCUUACAGAAUGCCUGAACAGUUCCAUUGACUCAAAGUGAAGAUCAAAAGAACCAAAUGACAGCAAUAGCCAAGUGUAAUCAUCAGUAACCCUGUGUUCUAUCCACAGUUAAAAGAAUAUUGGCAGAGAAACAGCCUUGGUGUUCCAGCAGGAGUGAAGAGGAACAGGAAAACGAGUGGCAGUAGCCCUGAAACAGCCACUUCUGGUGGUUGCCACUCACCUGAGGAUGUGAGUCUUGGCAGGCCAGGCUUCUGGGGACAGGGGGCCCAAGGCACAGUAGACGGUAAUUUUUAAGAUUAUGGAUGGACUGUUGGGUACUGGUUAAGAAUUCUGGGUUUGGCCAGGCACAGUGGCUCAUGCCUGUAAUCCCAGCACUUUGGGAGACUGAGGCCGGUGGAUCACGAGCUCAGGAAAUUGAGACCAUCCUGGCUAACACGGUGAAACCCUGUCUCUCCUAAAAAUACAAAAAAAUUAGCCAGGCUUGGUGAUGGGUGCCUGUAGUCCCAGCUACUCGGGAGGCUGAGGCAGGAGAAUGGUGUGAACCUGGGAGGCGGAGCUUGCAGUGAGUUGACAUUGUGCCACCACACUCCAGCCUGGGAGACAAAGCGAGACUCCAUCUCAGAAAAAAAAAAAAAAAGGAAUUCUGGGUUUGAAUCCUGCCUCUCCGUCUGCUAGGGAUAUGAUUUAGGGCAAGUUGCUUGAGCUCUUUGGGCCUCUCUUAUUACAUCUGCAUAAUAGAGGUGGUAUUGUUUGACUUCCAUUUGUGAAGUUUAAAUGAGAUUUUUUUAUUGUUGUUUUUAUGUUAAUCCCUAGUACAUGGCCUGCUGUAAACACCCAGGACACCCAGGAUAUGGUCAUUGCUCUUUGAUUUUCCUCAUCCCCAGUCUCAAGGGGAAGCCAGGACAAUGAGAACAGCCACUUGCCAUCAAGAGUCACUGAAAGGGCCUCAGGGUGGGAUGGUGGGGGGAUAAGAACCAUGAGAGAAGUCGGCACAAAGGAGUUAUGGGACAAAGCGUCCAAGAUAGGCAGAAAAGAAAAUGUAGCCAGUUGAUGGGGAAGAAAGGAAGUCAGAGGGCUUAGACACUGAGGGGGACAGAACAUCUCCAUGUGCAUUCUCAUCUCUGGUAGUCAGCAACAGGUAUCCACGGGGAGGGCCCUACAUCAUCUGCUACCCUGAAGGAUCUGGAGGUAAGAGGCUCUGGGGAGAGGUGCAGUGACCCUGCAGGCCAGCCCUCCAACCUCCUCCCACAGUGGACACGGCAUGCCCCUCUGCCAGCUGAGACAGCCCACACACACCCCAGCCUUAAUGAUUGUUCUCUCUACCUCUCCCCCACUCCUCCUCCACCUCCUCGUCUCUGCAUGCACCUCAGAGCCCAUGCCAAGAACUAGCAGUAGUCCUGGACCCGAGGUCCAUAAAAAUCAGUCAACUGAAUAACACCAUCAAAUCUUUGGUAAGAGUCCAGUGGGGUCCCCUUAUUCCACGCUGCCAAUCCUGGGCUCCAGUUUCCCCUUGGGGCCCUGAGGAAAGGAGCUGGGGGCACCUGGUGCCAAGGACAAAUAGGGAACUGGGGCGCCCAGGCCUCACCUAGAGGGACCCCAGAGCAUGCAGUAUGGCUCUUCUUUUGCUGCCCUCUUUGCCGACUCUCUCUUCUCCAGACACCCCUGGAGAGGGGUAUAAACACCUUUGUUUUAUCAACCCAAAGUGCCAUUGAUUUAAAGACACCUCUAUUUGAGAAAUGUUGGAAAUCGUAUGUCUUAGAAUUGAUCAAAUACACCAGAAUGUGAGCUGAAAAGAAAGCACCGGACUUAAAAUUUAGGAAGUCACUGGUGAUCUUACUUGGAGAAAUCCAUUUCAGUAGAUUGGUAAGUGCAGCACUAGAUGGCUGUGAGUUGGACAAAUGGGAGGUGUGGCAUUGUAUGCAGCAGAGAUGCAUGGAUGGUGUGCAGACCAGUAUUGCAAAAAAAUUGUGGUGAUGGGAAGAUGUGAUAAAGCUCAAGAUGUGGUACGAUUUAAAGGAAGGUAAUUUUUGUAUGAGGACAACUUGAGCCUUUGUCAAGGCUAAGGAGAAGAAGCUGAUGGAGAGACUAAAGGAGUAUAUGAGGCGCUGUGGAAAUAGAUUAGUGGAGGGGGCAUAGAUAUGAAAUUAGUCAGGGCUGGCCUUAAGUGUAACUUUUUAACUUAUUAGCUGACGUUGGACAUCUCACCUCUGUGAGCUCAGGAGGCUCACAAUCUCCUGAGCUUUGGUCUCCUCAAUUGUAAAAGUGAGUUAAUCAUUUCCCUACCUUAUGGAACUGUUGUUUGUAUUAAGUAAUUUAUCUACAUAAAGUUCUUGGAACAUUAUGGUCAGGACAUAGUAGAUACUCAAUAAAUGGGGUCUACUAUUAUGAAGUAGAUACUCAAUAAAUGGGAUCUACUAUUAUGAGACUACGAGAGACAGCAUAAUUGAUUAGCCACGUCCAGGUGGGAAGGGAUGGGAUCAAGCUCACAGGUUGAAGAAUUCACCCUGAAAAGGAAGAGAAAUCCCUCUGUGGUGGUUUGAAAAGAUGUCCACAGAUUCUUUGCUAUCCCUUCCUUCAAAAGAUAGGAUCUAAUUCCUCUCUUCUUGAGUGCAAGGGAUGCUUAAUGAAUUACCUCUAAAUAAUAGAAUGUGGUUGAAAUGACAAUGUUCAGCUUUUGAGAGUAAGUUGUAAAAGGCAUGUGACUUACUCCAUGCUUCUUCUCUUGGAUCACACAAUCUGGAGGAAGCCAGCUGACUUUUCACUUGAACACUCAAGCACUCUCUGGGGAGGUGCCGGGCAGUGAGGGACUGAGGCCUCCUGCCAACAGCCAUGUGAGUACACCAUCUUGGAAGUGAAGCCUCCACUCCUAGUCUAGCUUUCAGAUGACUGCAGCCCCAGCUGAUAUCUUGUCUGCAACCUCAUGAAAGACUCUGUACUAGAACCACUCAGCUAAGCAACCUCCAAAUUCCUGACUCACAGAAACUAUGAGAUAACACAUAUUUGUUCUUUUAAGCUGCUAAGUUUUAGGGUAAUUUGUUACAAAGGGUAACAUAUACAGAUUUUCUCUGAGGCAGAAGGAAAUCAGAGAAUGACAGGUGAAAGAUGAAAAGAUAGAAAGGAAAAAAGAUAAAUGUUUCUGUAACAUUAAAAUAUGAGGUAUGUUGUCUGCUGACAAUGAGGUGGCUUGGCAAGACUGCUAAGAGAUUGGAACAGCCAGGCAGAAAACAGGAAAGGGAAUUAACUUGGAACACAAAUAAGAUUGAGCCUACCUACCUUUAUGCUAAACCCAACUACAGAAAUCAUUUUGCUAAUGGAACCAGAUCAGACUCCACAUAAUGAGUCUUUAUCUCAAUCGUGAAAUUCAGAGGCUGGGGGCCUCUCUGAGCCUACCCCAGAGACCACCUUUGUGAGCAAACUGCUAAUGAGUGAAUUCAGGGAUGAGGAUGGCUCAGGCUUAUCUUGAAAAGUACUCCCUGAUGUCAAAAUGAUUUGCUACAGCUACAUCAAGUCUAGCACAUUAUUUAUGAAUAGGGAUAGACUACCAGAAGUAUUGUAAGAGAAUAAUCAACAAGUCUUAUGUAAUCUGCAGCAAACAUACUGCAGUAACAGGAAAAUCCACUGUCUUUCAAAUGACUCAAGUUUGCAUUAUUCCUUCCUGUUUGGACUGUCUCUCUCUCUCUCUCUCUCUCUCUCUCUCUCUCUCUCUCUCUCUCUCUCUCUCUCUCUCUCUCUCCUUCUCUCUCUCUCUUUCUCUCUCCCUUCCUUCCUGCCUCUCUCCACUCUGGCUGCUAGCAAGAGAGCCCUGGGAAUUCUCUGUGAUGUAGCCAGCCAACAGUUUUUAGGGUGGUGCUCCAGCACAUAAAAGGGACCAGGCCAGGACUGCCAUCUCCUAAAGUUAAUUUAAAGAAACUAAGCCCUGGUUUUUGUAAACCCCACAGGUCAACCAGGAAUUGAGUCACUGCAUCUCCCUGCAGAAUGACAAAUCAUGCUCUCCUUAGUAGCUUUACACCAGUUCUGUUUGCAAAUUGGGGAACUGAAACAUCACUGUAAAAUUGGUGCCUUUUGUAUCUUAUACAAUAGGGCUCAUUCAUUCAUUCACCCUUUCAUUCACUCAGCUGUUUAUUUAGCAACUGAUUAUUGAGUGCCUCUUCCAUGAGGGGACAGGCAUGUACUAAUUUUGGGAAUAAAGAGAUGUAUAUUGUGAUCCUAAGGAGAAGCAAAAUGUCCUGGCACAUAGUAAGCACUCAAUAAAUAUAUAUUGAAUAAAUAAUAAUUCCUGCUCUCUCUGGGCAUCAUAGUCUAGUAGGGGGAAGAGGCAUGUAAACAAAUAAAGUUGUUUUAGUACAAUAGUAAAGGAAUCGAUCAAGUACUAUACAUGUAGAAUACCAUAUCUACCUGGAAGUUAGGGAUGAUUUGAUAGAAGAGGUAACAUUUGCUUGAUGUUGAAGAACAAAUAUGAGUUUUCCAGGAAUGGAAAGUAGGAAAGGUCUUUGCAGGCAGACCAAAAUUAUUAUACUCAUAGGUCUUAUUGUCCGCGGGAUUGGUUUUGUCACUCCUGUCUAAUCCUAACUUGCAAAUAUAAAUAUUUAUCAAUAUUUCCCUGGAUUUUAAUUGUUUUUGUGUUUGUUUCCAAGACAGUGAUAGGUGGUCAAAGUUAGAUGCAAAAUAACUCUACAAAAGAGAUUAUUUUUUACAAAGUAGAUGACAUUAAUUCAAGAAAAAAAGUAUUUUAAGUUUCUUCCUGAAAGAACCUUUUAAUUUCUUGUAUUUUCUAGGCCAGGUGGAAGAUAUUCUUCCUAAAAAAUGGUCUUCAGAUUACCUCUAAACCUUCCUCUUUGACACCUGGCUGAGAACCCAGAAAACACCCCCUGUUCCAUAGCAGACCAGUGUUUACUGUUAUUUGCCUCUUUAGAGCAGUUCAGAGGACCAUCAGCUACCAUACCCACUAAACGAAAAUGGCAAAAGGACUUGUAAUGGCCAAAUGCAGCAAUAUAAUUUGUUAUUAUCAAUUCACUAGUGAUUUGAAAUAUUGAGAAAAUUCCCAAUUGAAUGACAGCAUGGAAAAUCACAUUACAUCAGGGAAUAGUAUUUUCUAGGCCACCAGAUUUCUCUAAAUUGGAAUUUGGAAAUAAAUUUUAUUUGCAGCAAGAAACAUGUAUUAAUACUGACACUUACUAAAAUGUUUUAAUGAGUUAGAGCAAGCAUUUUGUGUCAAGAUACUACUGGUCUAACAAGGCCUGCCACUAUUAUUGAUGCCCAUUAUGUACUUUUCCGUGAAGUUGUCUAACCUGUUCUAUUAAACCCGUAAACUGCUUUGACAAUCGUAAAAGAGACAAAAAGGAACAAAGUAAGAAUGAUGGGAAAUAGAAAGCCAAGGCACCCAAUUUUCUUCUAGUUUAAUCAAUAAUUUGGGGCUCUAUCACAUUUGCUCUCAGCCUUACAGUCUGAUCCUUAUUUUUUGCCAGGCUGCAACCCUCACUGCAUUUAAUAGAGGUUGAUGGAUAUUUUUAUAGCCCUGCAGUUUCAAACUGAUUAUCAGGUGUUUAACCAGCAAAGCCAUGCAAUAUUUGUAUAAAUCAAUCCUGUAAUGAAAGGUUAUCACCCACAAACCCAGUCAGUGUCAAACCAGAACAAGGUAAAGAUUUGGAAUGCUUCCCUUUCUGGAUAACACACUAUUGCUUAUCUUCAAUUUUCUGGAUAAUUUAGGAUUUUAUUGAAUAUGAUUCUUCAAGAACUGAACGAUCAUCCUAAACAAAUCAAAGUCACUGUAUCAUCACAGAGCAGCAUUUCCCACACUCUCAGUAAAACGCUGUCUACAUCAAAGGGGUUCUGUGACCCAGGAGGUUUUGGAAACUCAGGAUUAAACAGAGCUCCACAGGUUCCCUUGCUACAGGCAUUCUCAGCUGCCUUCAUAAGGCGAUGUGCAUUGUGAAUCUCUAAGUGGAAAUAUGGAAUGCAGUGUUUUCCAGGUCACUGGACCACAGAAGCCUUGUUUGAGAAUCACCUAGUGGCCCCAGUGGCCCACAGAUCAUAUUUUGGGAAAUGUUGCUAUUUGAGUAUAAUUGUUAUUCUUGAACACCCCAAAUUGUUUUGGUGUGGGAUUUUUUGUUUUGCUUUGUUUUUGUUUUUGUUUUGAGACAGGGUGUCACUCUAUCACCCAGGCUGGAGUGCAGUGGUGCGAUCACUGCUCACCACAGCCUCGAUCACCUGGGCUCUGGUGAUCCUCCUGUCUCAGCCUCCCAAGUAGCUGGAACUACAGGCAUGCAUUACCAUGCCUGGUUCAUUGUUUUGUAUUUUUUGUAGAGACUGGGUUUUGCCAUGUUGCACAGGCUGGUCUUGAAGUCCUGAGCUCAAGCAAUCCAUUUGCCUGAGCCUCCCAAAGUGCUGGGGUUACCGGAGUGAGCCACUGCGCCUGGCUAGGUUUCUCAUUUUUUUUUAAAGGUGAAAUUCACAUAACAUAAAAUUAACGAUUUUAAUGUGAACAAUUCAGUGGCAUGUAGUCCAUUCACAUUGUUGUGCAUCCACCACUUCUAUCUAGUAUUAAAGCAUUCCAUCUCCCCAAAAUAAAACUCUGUACCUGAUGAGUAGUUAAUUUCCUAUUCCCUCUUUCCCCUAGCCCCUAGUAACUACCAAUCAGCUUUCUAUUCCUAUGGGUCUACCUAUUCUGCAUAUUUCAUAUAAAUUUAAUCAACCAGUAUGUGACCUUUCAUGUCUGGUUUCUUUCUAAUAGCAGCAUGCUUUUUAGUUUCAUCUACAUUGUGGCAUACACCUGUGCUUCGAUUCUCUUUAUGGCUGCAUGACGUUCCAUUGUAUGGAUAGACCACAUUUGUUUGUCCAUUCACCCAUUGACGGUCAUUUGUUUUCACCUUUGGACCAUUGUGAAUAGUGCUGCUAUGAAGACUCUUGUCCCAGUAUUUUGUUUCCAAUUUGUUUGGGGAUACACCUAGGUGUGGAAUUGCUGGGUUAGAGAAUUCAUCUUGCCACUACAAUUUUGUGGCUUCCUAAGGCAAAUUGAAUAGUUCGUAUGACUUAGCUAGCUUGAGACAUCAUUUUUAAUACCUUUUGUUGUUGUUGUUGUUUUGUUUUGUUUUUUCAGAGAUGGAGUCUCGUUCUGUCACCCAGGCUGGAGUGCAGUGGCGCAAUCUCGGCUCGCUGCAAGCUCUGCCUCCCGGAUUCCCGCCAUUCUCCUGCCUCAGCCUCCCUAGUAGCUGGGACUACAGGCGCCCCCCACCAUGCCCGGCUAAUUUUUGAUAUUUUUAGUAGAGACAGGGUUUCACUGUGUUAGCCAGGAUGGUCUCGAUCUCCUGACCUCGUGAUCCACCUGCCUCGGCCUCCCAAAGUGCUGGGAUUACAUGUGUGAGCCACCACACCCGGCCCCAUUUUUAAUACGUUUUUUAAAGAUGCAUAUAAAAUGCAUUACCCUCUGGAAGAUUCCAGUAACUUACUGAAGCAAGUUUCUCCUCUACAUAUACCUAUUUCUGCCAUGAGUAACUGUUCAUUUUCAGUGAGUCAUUUGAGUUUCUGUUAUUCAGGUAUACAGAGUUCCUGUUGUCUUUUUAGUCAACAAAGUUUAACAAAGACCAUAAUAAAGAUGGCUUUCAGCAGCUCUGUUAUUGGGAAGGGUUGUAUUCAUGUGAAGAAAGAAAUUAUUUUAUUUUAUUUUUAAGUUUUAGUAGAGGGGGGGUUUUGCUAUGUUGGUUAGGCUGGUCUCGAACUCCCAUCCUCAAGUGAUCCACCUGCCUCGGUCUCUCAAAGUGCUGGGAUUACGGGCAUGAGCCACUGUGCCUGGACAGUAAUAAUAUUUUUUAAAAGGCUGACAUCAGCAGAUCAGCUAUUCUGGAAAGAUUUUUAAACACUCAGAGGUUUUUUUGUGUUUGUUUGUUUUCUUUUCUUUUCUUUUUUAGAGGCAGGGUCUUGCUCUGUCGCCCAGGCUAAGGUGGAGUGGUGCAAUCAUAGCUCACUACAGCCUCAAACUCCUGGGCUCAAACAAUCCUCACACCUUUCAUACCUUAGGCCCCUGAGUAGCUGGGUGGGACUACAGGCAUGCAUCACCAUGCUUGGCUAAUUUUUAAUUUUGUAUAGGUGGGGUCUUGCCAUUUGCCCAGGCUGGUGUCAAACUCCUCAAGUAAUCCUUCUGCCUCGGCCUCCUAAAGUGCCAGGAUUAUAGGCCUGAGCCACUACACACAGCCCGGAGUUUUUAAAAAAUACUCAAUUAAAAUGCUUCAUUUAAGUGUAUGUCUCUAAGAAAAUUUAAUAAUUGAUUAAAUAUUGUUGAAUAGACUGAAAGCACAACAUCCAAGCACAUGAAUUAAGCAAAUAAUGCAAGCAUAGCUCCCACACUCCACAAAUGUUUUCUAGUCAUUCCAAAGCCAUUCUUUUUAGAGGAUCUUUAAGAAAAUGCUUGGCUCUCAUCCGAUUAUUAUACAAGAGAUUAAGAAUUUACUGAGUUUACAGUUCUUUCUAUGAAGGAAAGAAUGAGGUCUACACCCAAAAGAAACAUUGGGAUUUUCAUUUAAGUAAAGCUGUAUUCUCAUUUAAAAUGGUACUAGUGCUCUUGUUGGCAACAGACACAUGAAGCAAAAUUUUCCUUUUACAUUUGAAUUUCAACUGCAUUUAAAGUGUUAUAAAUACCAUGACUACAUAAGCUAAGGGAAUGAAUGUAUUAACUCUGAUGCAGUCUGUCAGGUUUUAACAGUAGUGAAUCUUGGGAUCGGUACAUCUCAUUCCAGUAUAGCUAUGGUAAAUGACAUAGAGAUCGCUGAAUUGUUGUAUUUCCAGGACUUUUCAAAAGUGACUAUUAAGGUUGGCUGUGGGAUCUAGCAGGUUAUUGUCCUAGAACACUUGUGGCCUUCUCCUAAAACAGACUGGGAAAAUUCUGGUUCUUUAUUCACUGACAUCUCAAAGGGCAAAGAGGGAGGCACCAUGACAUUCUGCAGUUGCAGGCCUCUCAGGAUGAGACUGUAUUUUUCCAUACAGCAAUGUUGAUUUGAUCUGGCCUAAUUCUCCGAUUGAUGUGGUGAGAGGCAGGACUACUUGGGAAUGUAUUCACUGUGCCUGAUUUCUCUCUGGGCAAUUUAUUUGGUCAUCAAUCUUUUUAUCCUCCUGACAUUUGAUUUCUAGAUAUUGGCCCAAAUUCCAUAAGAUAGGAAUUUUUGUUCUGAAUUUUAAUAACAUAUGUAUUUUAAUUAAUAGUAUAUUUUAAAAUAAAAGUAACACGACAAAAAGAAAAAACAAAGACAAAAAAGUAACCUAAGAAUAUAUGCUCAAAAGUGCCAAAAAUACAAAAGACUACAGAAUUUUUAAAAUAGAAGCUUUUUGUUCAACUUGCUGCUCUUCUUCCCACUUCUUCAAUUCCAUUUCUUUUCCUAUAGGUGAUCAUGGCUAACAUUUUGGUGUUUGUCUUUCCAAAGUGUAUAGUUAUAGAUCUGAAUAGAAAUGUAGAUACAGAGAUAUCAAAGAUGAGCAUGGGCUAAGCACUCAACAAUAAACUACGUUGGGUCUAUUUUUCAAAGUUACUCUCAAAACAAGAAUACAGAUUGUCCAUUAAACAUACUGGAAUUUUAAUACAUUCUUUUUUUUCCCCCAGAACAUUUCUGAUUUCAUAUAUUCUGGCAUGUUUCCUGCCAUGUGGCAAACCAUAAGCUGAAAGAGAUAUAAAUAUAAAUAACACUAUGUCUAACAAAAUUUGCUCAGAAUAUGCUAAAGCAUUAGUAUAAAUGUCUACAUCUUAAGUCAGAGCUAAAGAACAAGUUUCUCUCAGUAAAUCAAGGAAAGCCAGGGGAAAAGACCAUAGAGAAAAAGGAUAUGGGUGCCUGUAUGAAGCAGGGGAGGUUUUUGACUCCAGUGCACCUAAUUAGCAAAUAAGUAUCAUUCAUCUGUGCUGUGGUAAGCACUGCAGUAUGCAUAAAUAGAAGGUGUGAUACCUGCCUCCAAAGGGCUUACCAUCUACUGAGAAAUCCGACUAAUCAGACAGGAAAGACUCAGAUAAUGAAGGCUUGCAUAAGAGCCUGAAUCUGAUAAGGUAAUGAACAAAAGACAGCCUCUACAGGUUUUUAUAGAUAGAAAUGAGAUGAUAAAAUCAAAUUUAAACAAUGUAUCUUAACUCCCUUCCGGCCUUUCAUUUCCAUUCCAUGAAUGCUACCCUGGCUUAGGCUUUCAUGACUUUGCCUAUUUGCAGUGACCUUGUAUUCAGCACUCUGCCAUCUCUCCCACUACUUCCUCCCAAGCCAUCCUGAACACAGGCCACAUGUUUGAUUUUCUAAUCGUACACAAGGGAACGUCUCUGCUCAAAAGCCAAAAAUGACUCUUCUUUGGCCACCAAAUAAUCUGAACUUUUUGGUGUGAAACUCAAGGCCCUGCCAGAAACAAUAUUAAUCUCCUUCCAGACUGUCUCCCAUUUCCUAAUAUUAACCCCUUGCUCUGUUGAAAUUGAAGCCAUUUUCCAAAGCCACCUCUGUGAUGUCCUUAUGUAAUUCCCGCCCUCUUCUUGUCCUCCCCUGCAACCCUAUCUCCAUAGAAAAGCAGUCAGAAAAACCACCCUAGGAAUUGAUGCAGUAAUCCAGGAGUGAGAUGAGGAUGGGAGGGAGAGGGUGAGCAUGUGGGGAUGAGGAGGAGGGUGGGACACAGGGAGUAGCCACAGACCUUAAUGACUGAUGGCAGAUAGGGUGUGAAGGAGAGAGGUGAGUCAAAGGUAACUUAUUUUCGGUUUUAGGCAACAAAUACAAAUCUUUCUCAAUAACUACUCAUCCCACAUCCUUGUGGCUAUUGGAGGUUGAUAUUUAUUUCAUACUGCCUGUAUAACCUGGGACCAUAUAUAAUUAAUGAUGAUUACUCUGUAUUCUAGAUCACGAAUAUAUAUAUCUAUAUAAAUAUAUACAAAUAUAUAAAUACAAAUAUAUAUAUAUAUAUAUAUAUAUUUACCUUAAUGCAGGCACAACCAAAUACUUUACUUUUGGAGCCAGAUGUCUUUAAGAUACACUGUAAACCAUUAAUAGAUACAUUGAAUAAGAAUCUUUAUUUCAUUCCCAGUGUGGUUUGGAGUAUAAGACUUAGGAAAGUGUCUGUGAAACCUACAGUGAGAAAUUCCACUGGGUCUUGACAGCUGGAGUGAGCACUCAAAUGUGCCCAGCACUUUUCUCUAGCUCCCUUCUCUGCUUGAGCUGUGGUCUGCUUUCUCCUUCUCUGUAGCUCAGAUCAUCUUCCUCCACUUCUCAGCCCACAUGUCUAACGUGGCUGGGACCAGCUCAGAGUGUUUCAAAUGUGUAGGUGCUCGGAGAGAGAGAGACCCAACCCUCUUAGACUCAGGUACACAUUCUCAGGGAAGAAAACUGGAACCAGUAGAAAUAUCAGAUCCCUAUGUUCCCUGACGAGUGCUUCCUUCUCUAAGAAGAAAAACCUACUAAGAAGACAAAUUACAGCUGGAAGGUUGUUUGGUAAGCGUGGAAUCACCUAUCUAAUCUCCCAGCAAGUCUUAAUUGCUCUACCAUAAAAAAAAAGCAACCCAAAUCCAUCCUUUUCCCAGCUUCACUCCCUAGUCCAAAGCCACCAUCCACCCUUGUCUAAACCUCUGCAGGACUGUCUUUGCUUAUUUCUUUUCUUUUCUUUUUCUUUUUCUUUUUUUUAAGCGGAGUCUCACUCUGUCACCCAGGCUGGAGUGCAGUGGCGCGAUCUCGGCUCACUGCAAGCUCUGCCUCCCGGGUUCACGCCAUUCUCCUGCCUCAGCCUCCCGAGUAGCUGGGAGUACAGGCGCCCGCCACCAUGCCCAGCUAAUUUUUUUGUAUUUUUAGUAGAGAUGGGGUUUCACUGUGUUAGCCAGAAUGGUCUCCAUCUUCUGACCUCGUAAUCCACCCACCUCAGUCUCCCAAAGUGCUGGGAUUACAGGCGUGAGCCACCGCACCUGGCCCUGUCUUUUCUAAUUUCUUAACUAUCAUUUCUAUCCCCUUAGAAUUGAUUCUCCACUCAGCAUGCAGAAUUAUCCCUUUGAAAAUCAGAUUAUAUUCCUACCUAAACCACCCCCAAUAGCUUGUGACCUCUUAGAAUCUAGAUUCCUUAACAUGGCCUCAAGGGCCCACGUGACCCAGCCCCUGCCUGUCUCUCUACCUCAUCUCCUACUGCUCCUGCUUUUGUUCCUUCCACUCUAAUCACUUGACCUCCUGACCUCAGUCAUGCUAAUAAACUCAUGCCUCAUUUAGAUUUAUUUUCCUAGUGGAAGAAAAUGCAUUGAUCUGUGAACACAAAUACAUGGUUUAUCUGUUACAGUUCUCAUUGCAUGUCAACAAACUGACAUUCUGAUGUGUACAUCCAUCUCUUAUGAGUCUGCUUAGUGUGAAUCUGCCCCCUCUGGUAGUACUGACAAGAUUGUGUUUCUCAGCCCACAGAGCUAAGACACAGACUCAUGAGACCCAGUCUCUGUCUAUACCACUAGAGUUCUACUGCCCCUGAAUGGCAUUGCCUGCACAGACAGCUGGCCUUCCUCAGCAGACACACAGCCUUUGUACCAUAUAACUCUUCAGACUUGCUAUGAUGUACCAAUGUCUUUCCUUGAAAUGCUCUUCUGAAAAUGAUAAAUGCUAAAACUGAUUACAAUGCUAUUGAAAGUGGAUGAGCAAGUUGAUCUGCUGAGAUGUGAAAACAAAUUCUAUUUUAAUUUUUAAUCUAAAAUAUUAGAAAGAAUUUUGUUUCCUAUACUUUGCUAUAUUUAGUAAAUAUACACUAAUAUAAGAAUUUUGCUUUACUAAAACAGUAGAACCCUCAGUUAGCCAGGCAGUCAUCAUCUGUCACAUAAAAGGUGUCCUGAGGAGGAAUGGGAGUGCCUCCCCUGGGGAAGAGGCUGAUGGUGGCUCUGGCUCUCAGUCAGUCGCUUUCCUUAUCUUGGUAUUUACUGUCAUUUAUCUGGGCUUAGCUAAACAGAUUUAUAGAGAAUUAACUCUCACAAAAUGGGAACAUAAUUUAAAAGAUUUCUGCAAAGAAUUGGACAGGAACUCUUGUCAAAAUUGUAAGCAGAAGAAAAGAAAAAAAGAAAGGGACAGAGCCGACAUUUCUCAUACUUCUGGUACAAGCUCCUCAUCACAUUCAUUGUGUUGUAAAAAUAAUGGUGAUCUAGUAACAUCUGACAAGGUCAGCCAAAAUGAUACAUAUAAGAAUUUAGCUCUCCACCUAGGAGGGCUAUUAGCAAUAAAAUUUCCAUCUACUAUAACUUAUAAUUAACUUUGACCUAUAUGUGUAUUUCCCUUGAGAUUGGCCAAUGAUUGAUUGAAACUACCACAAUUAAUGACAGAUAAAAUAGCUUUUUUAUUUUAAAAUUUCUAUUUUGUGGGUAUUAUAGAAUGUAUUUUAUAUAUUAAUAUACAUAUAAUUAUAUACUAUUAUAAUCAUAUAUUAAUAUUAACAUAUAAUUGUGUGUGUUCAAAAAUUUUUAAUGGCACAAUCAAAAAACUUUAAAGACCACUGGAUUAAAAGAUGGUAUUUAGGGCCCAGCACAAUGACUCAAGUCUGUAGUCUCAGCACUUUGGGAAGCUGAGGUGAGGGGAUCGCUUGAGCCCAGGAGAUCAAGACCAGCCAUGGGCAAUAUGGCAAAACCCCAUCUCUACAAAAAAUACAAAAAUUAGCCAGAUGUGUUGCAACUGUAGUCCCAGCUAUUCAAGAAACUGAAGUGGGAAGAUCACUUGAGCCUGCAAGGUCGACGCUGCAGUGAGCCAUGAUUGCACCACUCCAGCCUGGGAGACAGAGCAAGGCCUUGCUUCAAAAAAUAAAAAUAAAAGAUGACAUUAAGAAGAAAUCUGAUCUCAUUGUCUUUAUUAUCAAGUGAUUGAAGGCUAUAAUCAUUAUUUAAUAAUCUUGUAGAUAAUGAUUGUACUUGAAAGUGGGC